RNAcentral lists this ribosomal RNA (461 nucleotides) under uncultured Proteiniphilum sp. RNAcentral describes it as "bacterial SSU rRNA". It matches the Rfam family "Bacterial small subunit ribosomal RNA", at positions 923 to 1382 of the family's 1533-position model. Lineage: Bacteria; Pseudomonadati; Bacteroidota; Bacteroidia; Bacteroidales; Dysgonomonadaceae. The record is from RNAcentral.
GCACAAGCGGUGGAGCAUGUGGUUUAAUUCGAAGCAACGCGAGGAACCUUACCCGGGCUUGAAAUGCAUCUGACCGGCCUUGAAAGAGGUUUUUCCCCUUCGGGGCAGAUGUGUAGGUGCUGCAUGGUUGUCGUCAGCUCGUGCCGUGAGGUGUCGGCUUAAGUGCCAUAACGAGCGCAACCCUCAUCAUUAGUUACCAUCAGGUAAGGCUGGGGACUCUAAUGAGACUGCCAUCGUAAGAUGUGAGGAAGGUGGGGAUGACGUCAAAUCAGCACGGCCCUUACGUCCGGGGCGACACACGUGUUACAAUGGGUGGUACAAAGGGCAGCUACCUGGCGACAGGAUGCUAAUCUCCAAAACCACUCUCAGUUCGGAUCGGAGUCUGCAACUCGACUCCGUGAAGCUGGAUUCGCUAGUAAUCGCGCAUCAGCCACGGCGCGGUGAAUACGUUCCCGGGCCUU